UACUUUGCGCAGAGGCGGUUCCAUAGCCAAUGAGGGUUAUCCGAGGCGUGGUUAUUGCUAGUUGAAUACUAUGUACUACUACUGUGCCACUAUGUACUACUAUGUAGUGUAUUAAAUCAUAUGUAGUAAACGCAAUGA
Non-coding RNA from Octopus bimaculoides (California two-spot octopus), 138 nucleotides. The record is from Rfam. NCBI's taxonomy places the organism in Eukaryota, Metazoa, Mollusca, Cephalopoda, Octopoda, Octopodidae.